CAAAGGUACUUUGCUUAUUCUCUCUCUCGGGCUUCAGAAGACUCUGGAAGCUGCUUAUUGCCCAGUAUUUUCCACUGCAACCCCAGGCAGACUUAGACUGCAUCUCUACCUGCUGGACACCAAGGAGAUCGACAACCCUGUUUUUAGCUUUCUCUUUGGAAUAUGGAGAGUAAAACUUCACUAAUACUCCACCUUUAUUCCAAGGACUGUUUGUGGCAGCUUCCUGAUCCCUGUAUUGUAGCUAUGGCGCCAUGUUCUCAAACUCAGUAUUUCAGCGGCCAUCGGAGACUGCAGCUCCCCAGGGAGGCAGCUGACAUGUUGUGAAGACACUCAGAUUUCUGCCAACAACCAACACUGAUCUGCCAAGCGAGUAAGUGAGCCACCUUAGAAGCAAAACCUCCAACCUCGGUCAAGUGUACAGGAAACUGCAGCACGGGCUGACAUCUUGACUGCAAUCACAUAAAAGACCCCAAACCAGGAUCACCCGCCUAAGUCACUCCUUACCCAUAGAAACUGUGAAGAAGAAACAUCAGUUUUGGUACAACAUGAACCCUAACUCACAGGAGAUCCACCUGCUUCACGUCCCGAGGAAGCGAAUGAACUGGAAGGCAUCAGGCCAAUUACUCAUUAAGUCUCUGCAAUCCAUUUCGAAUCCCAGUUUCCUAUUGAUAUUAUGCCUUGAAUGUCAGGGAUGACUUCCUCCUAGGCAAAAUUAAUAGCUUUUUUAUUGGUCCCCAAAUUUGCCCAUGGUAUUUGAUGUCAGUGGUCACCCCAACUUGAGCACAUUCUUUUGGUUUCUGAGAUCCUGUACUUUCCUGUUAUUAACCAGGGCCAGGGCUAGGGUGAAGAAAGCGAAGUGCUCAGAAUGCAAAAUUCAAGGAGGCACUCACUCUCAGGGUCAUGCGAGUGUAAUGUGUUCACACUGAACACGUUUUUUGGCUAGUCAAGACCAACUGUAUUUAGCACAAUGAAAAGAAUAAAAGCAUUUUGCCUUUAUUUCACUUACUGUUUUUCCACGGCAGAACAUACGGCAGAGACUUGGGAACACGCAUGCCUGAAGCCAGGUUACUCUUAUGUUCCAUAACUAUGUUGCUUGCAGGACUGCAAAAAGAAAGACAAAUUUGCCUAUGCCCGCCUAUCUGUAUUCUCCAGGCAGGCACACACAAGACCAUCAAAAAUGUGUUUUUUGUAAUUUGGGGGAAAACAGCAAACUACAUUCUGACAUGUAAACACAUUUCCAUCAAAACAUUCUUGCAAUUAGAAUGAUUACUACUUCUCUGAAAAGCUCACUGUUCUGUAAAAGCAUUAAGAUGGGUCUGACCAUUUUCAUUUUCCAGAAAUUGAGAUAAACAGCAAUGCCAUCUACUGUUCGGUUGUGUGACAGGCUCAUCAACUCACUCAACAAAUAUGAGAGAUAAAAUGCCAAGACAACCAAACCAAAGGCAACACAUCUCAUAGGACGGAGGGAAAAUUAAAACUGUACUAUUAAAAUUCAUCUUCAAGUUCUUUUAUUUUAGUGCACACACACAAUAAGGUACACGUGCAAUUGUUAACUUAUCUUAGGAGUUAAUAAAAAUUGAUAAGCAUUCUAUUUGGG
Long non-coding RNA from Herpailurus yagouaroundi (jaguarundi), 1597 nucleotides. RefSeq lists it as uncharacterized. The transcript has 5 exons. NCBI's taxonomy places the organism in Eukaryota, Metazoa, Chordata, Mammalia, Carnivora, Felidae. The record is from RefSeq and is a predicted model, not a curated record.